Molecule: unclassified non-coding RNA, 341 nt
Filed under: soil metagenome
Description: partial contains 5.8S ribosomal RNA, internal transcribed spacer 2, and large subunit ribosomal RNA
Rfam family: 5.8S ribosomal RNA (bases 1-120)
Source: RNAcentral
GAUGAAGAACGUAGCGAAAUGCGAUAAGUAGUGUGAAUUGCAGAAUUCAGUGAAUCAUCGAAUCUUUGAACGCACAUUGCGCCCUAUGGUAUUCCAAAGGGCAUGCCUGUUCGAGCGUCAUUUGUACCCUCAAGCUUUGCUUGGUGUUGGGCGUCUUGUCUCUAGCUUUGCUGGAGACUCGCCUUAAAGUAAUUGGCAGCCGGCCUACUGGUUUCGGAGCGCAGCACAAGUCGCACUCUCUAUCAGCAAAGGUCUAGCAUCCACUAAGCCUUUUUUUCAACUUUUGACCUCGGAUCAGGUAGGGAUACCCGCUGAACUUAAGCAUAUCAAUAAGCGGAGGA